RNAcentral lists this ribosomal RNA (2709 nucleotides) under Triticum aestivum (bread wheat). Its description in RNAcentral is "partial small subunit ribosomal RNA". The record is from RNAcentral. Lineage: Eukaryota; Viridiplantae; Streptophyta; Magnoliopsida; Poales; Poaceae.
GGAAGCAGGUGGCCAAAAGUCUUAGCGUUUCCUUUUUUUUCCGUAAGAGAGAAGAGGGUGGUCGCCGGAGCUAGACCCUAGCGGUCCCUACGGCGGCGGCGGCGGUGCCUAGGGUGCCUGCGGCGGAGGCGCCUAGCGCGCCGCGGUGGAGCGGCGGUGGAGCGGUGGCGACCAGCGGUACCGCGCCGCAGUGGGGCGGCGGUGGAGUCGGUUCGCGGCGCGGCGGGUAGGCUUGGGAUCGGGCGGGGGAGGCGGGCGGCUGCCUAGCGAAGGCGAGGAGGUGCGCCGCUGGACGCCGCUGGACGCGGAGAACUUCUCCGACCACUCUCUAGACCUAGUCCCGUCCCCGGCAGGGUCCCUCCACCACCUCCGCCGGUUCCUGGUUCCAGAGCACCGCGACGUGAAGCGACGGCCCUUCCCUUCCGGUGUCCACACGUCCAUGGACCAGCUGCUCGAUCCCCAGCUACACCUGCGGCAGCUGUUACCUCUUAACCCGAUAUCCUUUGACAUACAACUGGUCGUGGUCAAAUAAAAAGCUUUAUUUGGCCCCUAAGGCGGUACGGGGCGCAGUUCAGGCCGAGAUCGCCGACGAACAAGAUGGCCUCCUUCGUGAGUACCGCGACGCUACUCAAUCACUCGUCCUCGUGGGACGUAGACGACCUGAAACUACUGCCAUGUGGUGGUCUUCUACGAACCUCUUCUUUUAAUUCAUCAAUGCGAUUAUCUGACUUCCUCAAGUUACACUGCCAGUCUCUUCGUAAAUUUUACUACUUCGAACCAGAGGUCGAAACCAGUAUACAAGCUCUCCUUCGAAGAGUACCUUCCUACAAAUAUUGAUCUCUUCCUACUUCGUUUUCCAUGAGGAGGCAAAAUCGAGGACCGGUCGUACUACCAAAUUUCAUACAAAAAAAGCGGGACAGUCUGUUGUCUAAGAAUUAAAGGACUUUAAAAGAGGUACCUACAAGUUACCUACGUUUAGACCUUACAAGAGAAGCCAGAAACAUACUUUCUUAUAUAUAUCGUCAGUACUGUGUCAUGUUGUUAUUGUUAAGGAAAGUCGGGGUUUGUUCAACCCCAUCCGAUCUCAACUUUGGGUCUUAUAGAGCAGUACCAAGACCGUGUACCUAUCGAUUGAAGGUACGCGGGGACAGGUGCGGCUUCGUUCUUUUUUCAUGAUGUCCUCUAGACUACAUGUCCACUAGUGACUUCGUUUUUUUUCAUGUCCUCAAGACCACGGUCUAACAAGUGUGUUUGUAUAGGAACGGUGAAGAUGUUCAUUAUAGAACGUUAUAUAAGAUACUACGGACUAACAAAUUGUGUACCUAACUGUUUGCACAAAACCGAACAGUACAAAGGCUAUUAAAGUCAAUAACCUUGUUUUAUUGGUCCCCAUGACCGAUCGAUUACAAACCAUGACCUGACCUGAAAUAGUCGGUACUAUUACUAAAAAAAAAGAUUUCUUUUACACUUAAACUACGAUCCGACAAGGGUGUUCUGGUGUCUUACAACCAGUGUUUUUGGUUAGGUCAAGUAAAAUACGGUCAGUGUUUUUGGACAAACAGAACAGGAGAGAAGAAGAAGGGCCGUUGGAACCGUGUUAAUGACACUAUAAAACAAACACAAGAAGCUGUUGGAAAUAUAGUGCCCGACGGAGGUGCAGGUGGAAGCAGAUGCUCGUAUAUAGUAGUGGUACUCCACGUAUGUCGAGUACACGUAAGCUUCAACUACCUCACUGUUUAGUUCAAAGGUAACACUUUAUAUAAUUGAUUACACAUUCUCUAUACGAUAGUAAAAUUAAUGAUAUAAGAUCGACAAAUCAAGGAUCGAAAAAGCUAUUACGUAUAAUUCAUACAGAACUUCAUUCGAUAGUAUCACAUAAUCAAAGAACAACAAUUUCUGUAACGUUAAAUGUUACGCAUACCUACCAGUUUAAUUCACGCGGCCGCACUUUUCCUUUACGGUGUGGGCUUCUAGGAACAUGACAAAUAUUACGCAUACGUAAGGAAAUGAUAAAAAGUGGUAUUCUAGGAAAAUAGUGAGUAAUUUUAAAGUGUUCAAGAACGGUGUGGGCUUCGAAGGCAAGAGCGACUGAAGUGGCCUUACGGACGUGGUACAAGGUGCCACCCCUCUCAAACCCAAGCCUUCCAUCACCCACCCUCGCCUCCUUCCUUUCCCCUCUUUCUACACGAAAGGAGCGACGUUGCGUGCCCGUUAAUUGAUAUAACGAUUAUUAAUACUCCCGAGGACGUCACUGUGAUGAUAAAAACGUCCACUUCGCUGUUGGUUCAAAGGUUCAAAUACAGUCUUAUGUUCUCUUCCCCCAAAUCAUAAAACAACUACCGUGUACAACCUUCCAGACGUCCUCCACGGAAACUCCUGAACGAGCAGAUGAGCUCGAAGUGACAGUCGCUUCAGAGGUGACCCAACGGAUCUAGACAGGACUUAACGAAGUAACUACUGUUAAACCUCUUCCGAGGCGACUGUGAAUGUUCCUACAAAAGGAAACAAUCUUUCUGCUCCUACGCGACCUCUAUCUGUACCCCACCAUUCUUUUACUGCUCGAGGACUACCAUAAUACGAACGACCAGACUUGGUUGUACAUAAUACAGUCAAACAACAAUUCUCAUAGAACUUUUAUAUUUCGGUGACCUCCCGGUCAGUAAGCCAUGGUAGCAGAAAGGUUCUCGGGUAUAAAGACGUACAUGAGGG